AAAAAGGGAAUCACACAACCAUUUGAGACCUUCGACCACUGUAACGUUCAGCCCUGCAAAUCCUCCAACCUCUGUUCACUGUGGGAAGUUCAUUAUCUCUGGCCAUCGCUGCUCAUCCUUGGAACUCCAUGCCUUGCCCUGUGUAAGCUUUCUCCGACCACCACUGCUCACAAAGGAAGCCAGCUAGUAUGGAGGUCCAAGAGAUAACGUUGGGUGCAAGAGCGGUCCCAAAAAUCUGAGUGGCAGACACCAUUCCUUGUUUACACUUAGAGUACAUGGUUAUUAGUGCAUUGAUGACUGGUGUUUCAAAAACAAAAACUUGUGUCCAUCAUGCAACCAUGAAGCUGCAAGCCCAAAUACAAGUCUCCUGGUUCUGAACAGGCCUUUGUGAUGCUUGUCAAGGUGUAGCCAUCAAAUCCUACACCCUCCUUUAAGAAGAGACAUAUAUGCCACUAUUGAGAGGGCUGUUUAGGAUGUUAGUCCAGAGGUAAGGUUGUUGUAGAAAACAUAAUAUAAAUGAUAAAGUACAUUAACAAGUUAAGUGUUUACUACCUCUGGCCCAUUCAUAUAAUUUAUCUCAAGUACAUUAUUAUUGGGGAAAAAAUUACAUAAACAAAGAUUUCUUCAAUCCAUAUUACAUUAUUCUGUUUUA
This is a long non-coding RNA of Macadamia integrifolia, 652 nucleotides long. RefSeq lists it as uncharacterized. The record is from RefSeq and is a predicted model, not a curated record. The transcript is spliced from 2 exons. Lineage: Eukaryota; Viridiplantae; Streptophyta; Magnoliopsida; Proteales; Proteaceae.